This 902-nucleotide ribosomal RNA is filed under the name uncultured bacterium. Its description in RNAcentral is "bacterial SSU rRNA". It matches the Rfam family "Bacterial small subunit ribosomal RNA", at positions 33 to 924 of the family's 1533-position model. The record is from RNAcentral.
ACGCUAGCUACAGGCUUAACACAUGCAAGUCGUGGGGCAGCGGAUGCUUAGCUUGCUAAGUAUGCCGGCGACCGGCGCACGGGUGAGUAACGCGUACCGAACCUGCCCAUCACACAGGGAUAGGCUUGCGAAAGCAAGAUUAAUACCUGAUGGUCUCAGUUGUAUGCAUGUAUGAUUGAGUAAAGCCUUCGGGCGGUGAUGGAUGGCGGUGCGUCCCAUUAGGAAGUUGGCGGGGUAACGGCCCACCAAUCCUUCGAUGGGUAGGGGUUCUGAGAGGAAGGUCCCCCACAUUGGAACUGAGAUACGGUCCAAACUCCUACGGGAGGCAGCAGUGAGGAAUAUUGGUCAAUGGGCGGGAGCCUGAACCAGCCAAGUAGCGUGUGGGAUGAAGGCCCUUGUGGUCGUAAACCGCUUUUAUCAGUGAAUAAAGUGCACCACGUGUGGUGUCAUUGCAGGUAGCUGAAGAAAAAGGACCGGCUAAUUCCGUGCCAGCAGCCGCGGUAAUACGGAAGGUCCGGGCGUUAUCCGGAAUUAUUGGGUUUAAAGGGAGCGCAGGCGGGAGUGUAAGUCAGCUGUUAAAUAUCAGGGCCCAACUCUGUUAUGCAGUUGAAACUAUAUUUCUUGAGUACGCACAGGGAUGGCGGAAUUCAGGGUGUAGCGGUGAAAUGCUUAGAUAUCCUGAAGAACUCCGAUCGCGAAGGCAGCCAUCCGGAGCGUAACUGACGCUGAGGCUCGAAGGUGCGGGUAUCGAACAGGAUUAGAUACCCUGGUAGUCCGCACGGUAAACGAUGAAUACUCGCAGUUCGGUCAUUAUGAUUGAGUUGUCCAGCGAAAGCGUUAAGUAUUCCACCUGGGGAGUACGCCGGCAACGGUGAAACUCAAAGGAAUAGACGGGGGCCCGC